GACGAACGCUGGCGGCGUGCCUAAAACAUGCAAGUCGAACGGUGUAGCAAUACACAGUGGCGAACGGCGGAGUAAUACAUGAACAACGUGCCCGGAAGACUGGGAUAGUCAGGGGAAACCCUGGGUAAUACCAGAUGUGGCCGAUCUUUGGCAUCUUAGAUCGAUUAAAGGGUUUUUCGCUUCCGGAGCGGUUCAUGGCCUAUCAGGUAGUUGGUGAGGUAAAGGCUCACCAAGCCGACGACGGGUAGCGGGUCUGAGAGGAUGAUCCGCUCGAGUGGGACUGAGACACGGCCCACACACCUACGGGUGGCAGCAGUUGGGAAUCUUGCACAAUGGGGGGAAACCCUGAUGCAGCGACGCCGCGUGGAGGAUGAAGGAUCUAGGUCUGUAAACUCCUUUUUCAUGGAAAGACUUAGGACGGUACCAUGAGAAUAAGGACC
Molecule: ribosomal RNA, 440 nt
Filed under: uncultured bacterium
Lineage: Bacteria
Description: bacterial SSU rRNA
Rfam family: Bacterial small subunit ribosomal RNA
Source: RNAcentral